ACAUCUCUGGGCUCUCUGCUCAGAUGUCUUCAAGCUGACGGUGUGAAUCAAGAGGUCCCCCGGCUCCUUCCACUGACCUCUGACCUCAAGCUGCCCUUUUCCUCACAUGGAGCUCAGAGAAAAGGGGGAUAUGAUAGUGUAGAGAUGCUCAGGGAACCACAACAAUCAAUUCAUCCAAACUUAAAUUAAAAAAUGUGAUCAUAUCAUCUCAACAAUAUGGACCAACAUCUCUGAGGAAUGUUUCCAACACCUUGUUGAGUCCAUGCUACGAAGUUCUGAAGGUAAAAGGGGGUCCAGUCCGGUACUAGCAAGGUGUACCUAUAAAGUGGUUGGUGAGUGUAUACAUACAUACUUUUCUUCCCUUUUUUGAUUAAAACAGUGGCUACCGACCCAAGUUGUGACUGUUAGCCAGAUGUCUGUGAGUUGUUAGCAGCAAAGAGACGUCUCUCCUUAAAACCUCUCAUUGCAUUAUCUGUCUGUUGGCCAAAUAAAUAGGAUUCUUUCAUUUUGAAAUACUUGUGAGGUAUCAGAAAUUGUUUCCUUUUCCCAAAUCUCUAAUCUGACUACACCUGCGGUUGAUCUCGUGGCAGUUUGGAGGAGCCUCUUUGCAGGGUGGAGUGUUUGUAGUCUACCAUAUUUAUGUAUUAGAGGGUUAACUCCAUUUUAGACACAUACCGAACCAAAUGACCACAUCGUCAUCACUUGCAACAAAAAUGGAUGGUAUGCAGUCGGCUAUAAGCUUCACAGACGUCAGAGUUAUGGCAGGACUGUUUGUCUCCUGUGUUUGCUCUCGCCUGUCGUGUAGCAUUGUUCUGAACAAAGACAGAAAUAGUUUGACUUCCUUCUCAGCACCUCUUAAUCAUCAAUGAUCAUUCAUGGGUCACGAGAAGAUUGUCCGUGUGCUGUGACCUGUGACCUCUUGGUCUCCUGACUACUGAUUGUCUGCAUUCUUGCUGGUCUGGCCAACUGGACGACAGAGAAUCAUCGAAAUCCUUCAAGUUUAGCUUGUAGGAUGUCGCUUUUGUUUUUCUCCCCGUUCAAAGAUCACAUGGCAAUGGAUCUAAGACAUGAGGUGAGGGAACUGGGUCUCUGUCUCCAUCGGGCCGCUAGCUGGAAGUGUGUUGAUCUGAAAGCAAUCGGUGAUGUUGUGAAGCUUUGCGUCCUGCCAGCGUUAAGCAUCUCGCACAGAGGUCAUAAUGCAUCACAGUACGCAGAACCUCAUGUGGUUUGGUCAAAGUCCACAAUUGCCAGCAAAAACAUGGACAAAAAUUACACAUCAAAUUAAGAUUAUCAACAUUUUUUCUUUUUAUUUAUAAAAGUCAGUUUAAAAUGCAUCAUCGGCUUGGAAUCUAUUCUCUAAACACAGUAUGAAGGAAAGUGCCAAAUAAUUAUACUGCUUGUUAUUUUAAAGCUUGAGUCACGUGGAUGUACAGUUAUUUAGGGGAGAGACUACAGAGUUUAAUGAAAAUGGAAUGCAAGUGUAUCUAAGAAGACAUUUGGAUUCCUAAAUCCGUGCAGUCUAGAGGGGAAAUGUGAUGUAGGUAAAUCAGUUCAAAGCUCAAACGCAUCUCUAAUUGUGGCACAUUGAGGCAUUGAGCUGAAUUUCUUUGAGUUUAUUUACAUAUGAUUGGCUUCAUAGGCCUUCUUUUUAGUGAUGUUUAUAACAGCAUUAGCGGCACGUAUUUCACAUGAUUACAUAUGAAAGCCUUUACUUGCAUUGAUGGCUCAUGCUUGUUGCCUUUGUGUUCAAAGUUCAUCUGGAUUUUAAGUUUCUGUGUGACCGUCCGCUGUCCUGCUCUUAUAAUAGGACACUAGGACACAAUGUCUCAUAUAAAUAAAUGAUAUUGUCAAAAACGCCCAGAUGUAAAUCCAUGAUGUGAAACAAAGGAAUCUUAAUCCAAAAAACAGCAUCAGUUUUGUAUUUUGGUUGAGUGCAAAAAGAGUUUCUCCAUUUAGAUGUCUUAUAUAAUGGAAGGCUGUAAUCUGUUAUAUAAUAACUGAGUAGUGAAAUGGACUCUGCUUCCACUGGUGGGUUCCAGCAUUUUUUUCUUGCUGAGCCCAUCUGUAAGACAGCAACACAUUUGAGUUAAAAUACAAAUAUUCCCUACGUAAUGUUAAAUGACCCUUAUUUCUGGCUUUAGCCUUUGCUACAGACAUGGUGGAUAUAUAGUUUCAAUGUCAAUCCUCACAAUGCUGUUGCUAUGAAAUGAAGGCAAAAUGCGCAAUAAAAAAAAAAUCUUUAGCUUACUUUGGUGGCUGUAUGCAAAGCAAUGUACAUUUUAAAAUAUAGUACUUAUAUGACUAAGUUUGGACUGAUAAUAAAGAAAAAAAUAUGUGUACAAUCAGCUAGCAAAUGUAUCAAAUGUAUUAAAAAGAUCGCUGAUAAACAUACAAUAUAAAAAUGCAUAUAAAUAUAUAUGGUAUAUAUGCAUUUUUAUAUUGGGUUUCAAAACGAAGAUAAAGUGAGAAAACAGUCACGGUUUCAGGAGAAAAAGGAUGUGAGAGGAGAAGGAAGAGGCCUCCAACCCUGCAGACUGUCAGCUCCAUUCAAACCACCAGCGCCUCUUUUUCACCUGCAUGCUGCUCUGAUGAUGAAAUGUCCCCUUCAUCAUCAAGAGAAAGUUUAUGAACAAAUAUUUCUUUUCAGACUUGGCGUCGGUGGGGAAAAGCUAUUCUUCCUCAUCAGUCUGAGUCACAUUCUGUCAUAAACGGCCUGAACUGCUGGUGUACGCGCUGUUUCUCUGUGCUGAGGAUAUUUUUGGCUCUGCAAUGUGGCAAACACAGAGAUUCACUCAGAAACAGAGAGAGAGACAGAGAGAUAAAGAGAGAGAGAGAGAGUGAUGGCUGUCACGGGGAGAGAGAGAGACAGAGCCUCACACAGCUCCCCCGGCAGGCAGUGUGUGAGAUCUGGGGCCCUGGGGCCCUUUGGAUGGCUCAGGCUGAAUGGGUGCCCUGGCGAGGUGACCAGGCUCAUUGAGAACAGGUUACGAGGGGAAGGGAAUGCUUUUACUGCGCGUUUGGCCCCCUGACCCACUAUGCAACGUCUGCCUUGGCAGCUUUGAAACCCAACAUAUUUAUUUGCAACGCUCUGAAGAGAGAGGGUGGAGCGGCUGUCAGAAUAAAGUCAUCGUCCUGCUGACAGCUUCAUCUGCUGUUGAAGGGCAGCUAUGACAGGCGCACAAUGUCGCUGCGUCGGCCAGCCCUGGGCGAAGGACUGUCAUCUGUGGACAUGCUGGGAAUCUCGCAAACCGUGUCCCCUCCCUCCCCUCUCGCAAGCUCCCUUGAUGCGUCAGACUUAUUUCUUUGGCCCCGUAAGAAAUGUUUUUCAUCUCAGGGUACGUGGAUGUCAACUGGGUAAUGGGUGGGAAUUCUCCAUCUCCAUUGGAUGUGCUGAGCUUUUAUCAUAAUGACGGAGGGAGAAUAUGAAGCAGAGCUGUUUGUGUAAGAAAAUAAACAUUUUUUUAGAAAUAUACAAAUACGUGGUCAUGCAUUUAGUCAAUGCUACAGAUUUGUAUACAGUAUUGUAUACCAAUAUGAUCCAGUCCUUCUUGACAAAGUUGAGAAUGACAUCGAAAAAUGUUGGUUCACUGAGGAACCAUGGCAAAUAUAUCCCUCUAAUAUAUAUACAACAAUAAUGUAAAUAGAAGGUAUAGAAAGUAAAUCUGAUAGCAAUGCAACCUCUGUGCACAGGCCCUGUGCAGGUAAUUGACUCAGCUACGCUCCGGCGGUUUAAGCAGCGGUGCUGUAACCAACUAGCAUCAUGCUAAUGUGCACAGGGGACACCCAGCAUCCCUUCCUAUCAAUAAGUAAUUAUCUGAGCCCCGCCACUGAUGGGCGUCCUGCAGUUAUCUCUGCAGCUCACACAAAGAGGAUGGAGGGAAUGCCGGGAUGCUGGAAUGCUGCCCAGGUAUGAGGUGUUAGUCACGCCACAGACAAGCACAAGCAACACGAAAGGAUGUUGGGACUGCAAGUAGGUCCCCCAACCCCAAUAAAAGUGCAGUUUGACAUUCGCACUAAAAUUAUCCAAAUACUGGCGCUCUAAGAGAUUCAAAGUAUUACAGUUACGUUUAAAGAAAUAUGCUAUAUUAUUUGUAUUAACCUUUUCAAACUUCACACUAAAUUGACCCAUUUAGGUAUCCUGCUUGCUAAUACUGUAGCUGAUAAUGGCAAUGAAAAGGUUUAAGGUGUAUUUAUAUAAUAUUAAACUACUAUAAUAUGUAGCAAUAUGUUUUCUAAAGUCUUGUAUCUAUUUGUGGCAUUAAUUACCCCCCAUAUAGCUCACAAUAUUGCCACAAAAUCUCUAAGCACCUUCGUCUCAGAUUACCGUAAACAAUAGCAAAAGCAAGCGUGCUAAUGGUGAACAUAAUUAUCCCGGACAAAAGGCCAAACACCGCAAAUCACGUUUUACAGCGGGAGUGAGCAGAAGGCGACGUCUGGGCUGCAGCCAGUGAGACGGGAGAGAUAUUUCACUGCAGAUAUCCAUCUAGCGCCUGCAUCACAUUUCAUUAUUGGGGUCAACAGGAAGCCAGACUCCUUUUACAGCCUAGUACACAACAUGACAUUGUUUCUGUCGGAACAAUGUUUAUGACAGCACAUGGCAGCAAAGCGAUACGUCUGCAUGUGAGGAGAGCGUGGACACCGUGUCUGUAAAGAUUUGUACAAAUCUGUGCUGCAAAAAAUAUUUAAAUGAGGAAAAUACUUUACAAUUACAGAUUCAGAUCAAAAGUGUAAAAGGCCGUGUUUAAGAUAUGUUUUCAUUUCAUUUUAUUUGAUCCCCUGUUUCAUCCCUAACCCUGUGUUUUUCAUUAGGCACAUUUCAGUCGGCACCACAGCAAAUAACUCCCUUCUGAUGGAGAUGUUAAAUGAGGUAGACAAGGCUUAAACCCUCCACUGCCUCCGUAACUGGCUCGCCACUCUCUCGCUCUCUAACACAUUGUUGUGGGGAGGAGGGUUAACUAUCAGCCAUAAUGUGUAACUGAAGAUCAGCUCCCCCCUCCGGCUCCACUCCUCACACCACCCCACCCUCGACCCCCAUGCCAGCCCUCCCUCCCUCCCCCGCCGACAUCCCCCGAUGCCGUUGUUGGGGUGGUCUCGGCCUCUGCUGUCACCAAGCCGCGGGUCUUUCAGCCGCUCCCCAAACCCCUCCCUGUUCUUUUUUUCUUCUUUCUGCCGCUCUCUUGGGCGUCACGAGAUUACUGAAGCAGUGCUGACAUCUCUAUCAGCCUGACCUAACACUCUGCCCCCCCCGCCCCCUCCUCUCCUCCUGCACGGCAGGAUCCAUCACACUCCAGCCUGAGCUUCUCACUCCGACAUACGAAAAAACUAAAUCAAUAAAGAGGAAAAUGGAAAAAUACAAAAAAGAAAAAAAAAAGAAAGUUAUUCUUUUCCUCUGCGGCAGCCAGCGCAUGAAAUAAACACUUAAAUGCUUCCAGCACUUGACGUUAAUUAAGACAAGAACAGAACGUCUCUCUUUCUAAACUUAAAGAGAUAUUUCAAGGAGGUAUUUUCAGGGCAUCCCAGUGGGUUCUCUUGGCUAAUGUGUUGCUGUGUCACGCUCAUCAAAUUCAUAAUUUAUUAUUACAGUCAGAUGCAGUGCAAUAGAAAUUAAAAUGUACUUUUGAUACUCUUAGGCACAACUCCCCCAAGAGAUUGUCCCCAUGCAGUACAUAUUGGAUCGACGCCAUUAAUCAUUUUUUGGUGCAAAAACUCAAAAUAAAGCUUUCUAUUAUUUUUGGGUUUGCGUGCUGCUCAAAUCUUACAAGGAAUUUUCUUCGGGCUUCAAGGCGACGACUGUGACGGCCACUCUAGAACCUUCCAGGACCUUUCCUGAAACCAAGCCUCGGUUGACUUUGAGGUAUUUUUGUCAAUGAUGCCUGAGCUUCAGCUUUUUUUCUCCUUGGAUUUCCUGAUUCUUGAUUGAAUCCAUCUCACUGCAGGCCGGGUUUUCUUCUCAGCAGAUGCUUCUUACUUCCUCCGCCAGACGUACAGCUGGGCCAAAAAGUUCCACAGAAUAGAAUCCCACAACUUCUAUAGCUUAUUAACAGGUUUGCAGCAUGUAGCCGGCUUCUCUUGAGGUGUGGGUCAGUAGUAGUGGAGUAUGAGAACUUAGCCAUAAACGUCAGUGCCUGUUGCCACCAAGUCUUGAUAUUGAAAACAGGUGAACAUUUGUACAUAUUUGCAACAUAGGUGGUGAUAAAUGUUGAGGACAACUGUAGCUUUUGAUGUAGUUUGAGAGUUAUUAAUGUGACAUAUGUAUGUCAGUAUCCAGGAAACGGCAAGUUGUGUUUUAGCUGUUUCCAUAUUUUUUAAAAGAGUAAAGUAGUGUGUAAUGCAUCAAAAUGUGUUGCUGUGCAUUGUAUUGUGACAUGUAUAUUGAGAUACCUUGCUGUCUUCUGUCCUCCUGACUGCUUCAUCCAGCAGAACAGUUUACCAAAUAAAGAACUGUCUUAGGGGAUGUGCUUAACAUAGUGAUGGACAAUUGAAGUUGAUUGUACACUUUAAUUUGCAUCUCAGUUCUUGUUGCGUAGAUUUAUUGUCUAACAGAUAUUUUCUUUUACUUUCAAAUGUUUCCUUUGAUGUACAGUAACAAGUAUAGUCACUAUUACCUUGGUGGAGUCCACCACAGCGGCACAUCUGAUCGACCUGUGUGUGUGUUUGUGUCUGAGCUCAGAUAACGUAAAACCUGAAUGGCUGCUGUGGAAACAAGGCAGACUACGUAGAUAUAAAUGCCUGAUGCAAACCGUACGGCGCAUACACUACACACAAGUGAUUAUUAUUGUAUUGCCUCAGUGCCAAAUAAUCUGCCAAAAUGUUUGUGGAUAGUUUUUUUUUCCUCAGUAACUUUUGAACCCGUGUUUGGUCUGUAAUUCUUUUGAUUACACCAUUGUGAUAAUGUGA
This is a non-coding RNA of Gasterosteus aculeatus aculeatus (three-spined stickleback), 6897 nucleotides long. Lineage: Eukaryota; Metazoa; Chordata; Actinopteri; Perciformes; Gasterosteidae. The record is from RefSeq and is a predicted model, not a curated record.